AGAGCAGGGCAAAUGGUCGCUGUUCGAUAGGGGUUAUCCCAAAACGUGCCUCCUGCGAAGAGAGGAAAGUCCGGGCUCCACAGGGUAGGGUGCUCCGUAACACGGAGUCCCGGUGACGGGAAGGAAAGUGCCACAGAAAAUAUACCGCCCCUCAUCCAGUUCUCAUUUUCGAGGUCGGCAUUCAAUAUCCGCCAAAAUCACUUAGGACUGGGUGCGGGGUAAGGGUGAAAAGGCGAGGUAAGAGCUCACCGCUCUGGUGGCGACAUCGGAGGCUUGGCAAACCCCACCCGGAGCAAGACCAAAUAGAGGGACGUUUGAGGGCUACCCGUCCGAGUCCCUGGGUGGGUUGCUUUAUCCCAUUAGCAAUAAUGGGAAUAGAUGAAUGACCAUUGUCCCGUAAAGGGUAACCAAUACGGGAAACAGAACCCGGCUUAUGACCUGCUCUAACA
RNAcentral lists this RNase P RNA (449 nucleotides) under Deltaproteobacteria bacterium. Its description in RNAcentral is "RNase P RNA component class A". It matches the Rfam family "Bacterial RNase P class A". Rfam says of the family: Ribonuclease P (RNase P) is a ubiquitous endoribonuclease, found in archaea, bacteria and eukarya as well as chloroplasts and mitochondria. Its best characterised activity is the generation of mature 5'-ends of tRNAs by cleaving the 5'-leader elements of precursor-tRNAs. Cellular RNase Ps are ribonucleoproteins. Lineage: Bacteria; Pseudomonadati; Myxococcota; Myxococcia. The record is from RNAcentral.